RNAcentral lists this ribosomal RNA (467 nucleotides) under uncultured bacterium. RNAcentral describes it as "bacterial SSU rRNA". It matches the Rfam family "Bacterial small subunit ribosomal RNA", at positions 30 to 490 of the family's 1533-position model. The record is from RNAcentral.
AUUGAACGCUGGCGGCAUGCCUUACACAUGCAAGUCGAACGGCAGCACGGGAGCAAUCCUGGUGGCGAGUGGCGAACGGGUGAGUAAUAUAUCGGAACGUGCCCAGUCGUGGGGGAUAACGUAGCGAAAGCUACGCUAAUACCGCAUACGAUCUAUGGAUGAAAGCGGGGGAUCGCAAGACCUCGCGCGAUUGGAGCGGCCGAUAUCAGAUUAGGUAGUUGGUGAGGUAAAGGCUCGCCAAGCCGACGAUCUGUAGCUGGUCUGAGAGGACGACCAGCCACACUGGGACUGAGACACGGCCCAGACUCCUACGGGAGGCAGCAGUGGGGAAUUUUGGACAAUGGGCGCAAGCCUGAUCCAGCAAUGCCGCGUGCAGGAUGAAGGCCUUCGGUUGUAAACGUGCUUUUGUUACGGAACGAACGGUGAGCUCUAAUACAGUUGUCUAAUGACGGUACCGUAAGAAUAAG